RNAcentral lists this long non-coding RNA (228 nucleotides) under Lathyrus oleraceus (garden pea). RNAcentral's name for it is "Pisum sativum (pea) long non-coding RNA (PSAT_LNC028374)". Lineage: Eukaryota; Viridiplantae; Streptophyta; Magnoliopsida; Fabales; Fabaceae. The record is from RNAcentral.
UCUUCCUGGAUAGGAUUAGCUUGCAGUUGUGCAAGUAGGUAGAAACCUGAACAUAGGGUAAUGAUGCAUGACAACACUAGGCUCGAGUCCAGCUCCCUGGUAGUGUGUCUUCCCUCGGUUUCUGGCUAGAUUUUCUUUCCCUUGAGGGGGAACUACAUCGCCCUGAUCCUUGUUCCAGACGAGGUAUGUAGGCAGGAGACCGUGCGAGGUCUCUCCGGGCACUUUUUU